CUGGUCCAUGAAUGAUUAACCUUCGCUUCCUUUGAAGACUAGAGAACAAAACGCCGCCGUUCGAAGUCCCUUUUCUCGCUCAGGCAUUCAGCUCUCUCCGAGCUGGACGUGAUCUGCGGAAAACCCAAAGCACUUUGUUCCCUGCGCUGGAAUAGAUUGACUCUUGGUCAGAUGCGAUCUUCCGUUAUAAGAGAGACUCUCUUGGGGAGCACAGGAGAGAUGCAGCAACUGUCUCUUCAAAGUGCCUGUCUGUCCUGAAAUGAUGUCGCUCUGUGUUUGUCAAACGGGCAGACACAGCUGGUGGACUUCUCCCCGUGGGUUAAACAUUCUGAUUGAGAGAUCCUGGAGCUCUUGGCUCCUGUCUCCACAUAUUAAGGUGACUGUCUGCACUGUAACCAGCUCAGGGCCCUGCAGGAGGGAGAAUUAAUUAAUUAACUAGUUAAUUAACUGUCAGGUUGCCAAAUCUCUGGAGGAAAUGACUGAGGAGGAGUGAAUGCUGUCUCUAGACCCCCUGCAAUUGCUCUCCAGUGCUUGUGCCAAGGCAGGUCUCCCGUGGUCGGGGGGGGCUGUGUGCUCCAGCCACUGCUGGCACAGAGAUAUUCAUGGGCAGGUUCUGGUCCUUUUGCAUGUUUUUUCCCCUUAAUCUACAAGAUCCUGAUCUCUUCUAAAAGAAAAGUCUUUUACUGGUGUUCUGGAGGUGCUUUUUGCUGCCUUUUCCCUAUUUUCUUACCUCCUGGCCUGCUCACUGCAGUUCAAUGCACCUUUCACAAACACUUCAGAGAAACGAUCUGGGCAAGAGUGCUCGUUGGCUUGAGUUGGCUCAACCUGAAGCAAUGCAGGCACAAAUCUGGAGUGUCCCUUGCCCAUCCUUGUCCUACAAGUCCUUCAAGGUAUCCCGAGAGGUCUCCUUGGCAGCAAGAAAGACGCAGGAAAAGACGCCAUCGGGAGGAGGGUGGGCGUCGCAUUCCUCCCGCCGCUGGCUGCCCCGUGAUGGUGCUGACGCGGCGCAGACGCUUCGUCGUGGGAAGGUAAAGCUGCUUGCAUUGAUCUGAGAAAUGACGUCGGCAAGUGAAAGGUCAUCAAGGGGUCUCUUGGGUUUACUUUGUUGUUUUGUUUUUAACUGGGUGAAUUAAAUG
Molecule: long non-coding RNA, 1136 nt
Organism: Chroicocephalus ridibundus (black-headed gull)
Lineage: Eukaryota; Metazoa; Chordata; Aves; Charadriiformes; Laridae
Exons: 4
Source: RefSeq, a predicted model, not a curated record